GAUGAACGCUGGCGGCGUGCCUAACACAUGCAAGUCGAACGAAGCACCUUACCUGAUUCUUCGGAUGAAAGUUUGGUGACUGAGUGGCGGACGGGUGAGUAACGCGUGGGUAACCUGCCCUGUACAGGGGGAUAACAGCUGGAAACGGCUGCUAAUACCGCAUAAGCGCACGAGGAGACAUCUCCUUGUGUGAAAAACUCCGGUGGUACAGGAUGGGCCCGCGUCUGAUUAGCUGGUUGGCAGGGUAACGGCCUACCAAGGCAACGAUCAGUAGCCGGUCUGAGAGGAUGAACGGCCACAUUGGAACUGAGACACGGUCCAAACUCCUACGGGAGGCAGCAGUGGGGAAUAUUGCACAAAGGGGGAAACCCUGAUGCAGCAACGCCGCGUGAGUGAAGAAGUAUUUCGGUAUGUAAAGCUCUAUCAGCAGGGAAGAUAAUGACGGUACCUGACUAAGAAGCUCCGGCUAAAUACGUG
This 477-nucleotide ribosomal RNA is filed under the name uncultured bacterium. RNAcentral describes it as "partial 16S ribosomal RNA". It matches the Rfam family "Bacterial small subunit ribosomal RNA", at positions 28 to 507 of the family's 1533-position model. The record is from RNAcentral.